GAUGAACGCUGGCGGCGUGCUUAACACAUGCGAGUCGAACGGAAAGGCUCCUGCUUGCAGGGGCACUCGAGUGGCGAACGGGUGAGUAACACGUGGGUGAUCUGCCCUGCACUUCGGGAUAAGCCUGGGAAACUGGGUCUAAUACCGGAUGGACCAUCGUUUAGUGUCGGUGGUGGAAAGUUUUUUCGGUGUGGGAUGAGCUCGCGGCCUAUCAGCUUGUUGGUGGGGUAAUGGCCUACCAAGGCGUCGACGGGUAGCCGGCCUGAGAGGGUGUACGGCCACAUUGGGACUGAGAUACGGCCCAGACUCCUACGGGAGGCAGCAGUGGGGAAUAUUGCACAAUGGGCGCAAGCCUGAUGCAGCGACGCCGCGUGGGGGAUGACGGCCUUCGGGUUGUAAACUCCUUUCGCCAGGGACGAAGCGAAAGUGACGGUACCUGGAUAAGAAGCACCGGCUAACUACGUG
RNAcentral lists this ribosomal RNA (465 nucleotides) under uncultured bacterium. RNAcentral's name for it is "partial 16S ribosomal RNA". It matches the Rfam family "Bacterial small subunit ribosomal RNA", at positions 28 to 507 of the family's 1533-position model. The record is from RNAcentral.